MicroRNA precursor from Medicago truncatula (barrel medic), 116 nucleotides. It matches the Rfam family "MIR2593 microRNA precursor family". Lineage: Eukaryota; Viridiplantae; Streptophyta; Magnoliopsida; Fabales; Fabaceae. The record is from Rfam.
AUAUAAGCAAAAAUUUGAUUUUUAGAUUCAUUCAUUAAAUGAACGUAUGUAGUCUUUAUUAUAGACUAUAUACGUUAUUUAAUGAAUGAAUCUAAAAAUCAAACUUUUGCUUAUAU